UAAUCUGCGAUAAGCGUCGGUAAGGUGAUAUGAACCGUUAUAACCGGCGAUUUCCGAAUGGGGAAACCCAGUGUGAUUCGUCACACUAUCAUUAACUGAAUCCAUAGGUUAAUGAGGCGAACCGGGGGAACUGAAACAUCUAAGUACCCCGAGGAAAAGAAAUCAACCGAGAUUCCCCCAGUAGCGGCGAGCGAACGGGGAGCAGCCCAGAGCCUGAAUCAGUGUGUGUGUUAGUGGAAGCGUCUGGAAAGGCGCGUGAUACAGGGUGACAGCCCCGUACACAAAAAUGCACAUGCUGUGAGCUCGAUGAGUAGGGCGGGACACGUGGUAUCCUGUCUGAAUAUGGGGGGACCAUCCUCCAAGGCUAAAUACUCCUGACUGACCGAUAGUGAACCAGUACCGUGAGGGAAAGGCGAAAAGAACCCCGGCGAGGGGAGUGAAAAAGAACCUGAAACCGUGUACGUACAAGCAGUGGGAGCACGCUUAGGCGUGUGACUGCGUACCUUUUGUAUAAUGGGUCAGCGACUUAUAUUCUGUAGCAAGGUUAACCGAAUAGGGGAGCCGAAGGGAAACCGAGUCUUAACUGGGCGUUAAGUUGCAGGGUAUAGACCCGAAACCCGGUGAUCUAGCCAUGGGCAGGUUGAAGGUUGGGUAACACUAACUGGAGGACCGAACCGACUAAUGUUGAAAAAUUAGCGGAUGACUUGUGGCUGGGGGUGAAAGGCCAAUCAAACCGGGAGAUAGCUGGUUCUCCCCGAAAGCUAUUUAGGUAGCGCCUCGUGAAUUCAUCUCCGGGGGUAGAGCACUGUUUCGGCAAGGGGGUCAUCCCGACUUACCAACCCGAUGCAAACUGCGAAUACCGGAGAAUGUUAUCACGGGAGACACACGGCGGGUGCUAACGUCCGUCGUGAAGAGGGAAACAACCCAGACCGCCAGCUAAGGUCCCAAAGUCAUGGUUAAGUGGGAAACGAUGUGGGAAGGCCCAGACAGCCAGGAUGUUGGCUUAGAAGCAGCCAUCAUUUAAAGAAAGCGUAAUAGCUCACUGGUCGAGUCGGCCUGCGCGGAAGAUGUAACGGGGCUAAACCAUGCACCGAAGCUGCGGCAGCGACGCUUAUGCGUUGUUGGGUAGGGGAGCGUUCUGUAAGCCUGUGAAGGUGUACUGUGAGGUAUGCUGGAGGUAUCAGAAGUGCGAAUGCUGACAUAAGUAACGAUAAAGCGGGUGAAAAGCCCGCUCGCCGGAAGACCAAGGGUUCCUGUCCAACGUUAAUCGGGGCAGGGUGAGUCGACCCCUAAGGCGAGGCCGAAAGGCGUAGUCGAUGGGAAACAGGUUAAUAUUCCUGUACUUGGUGUUACUGCGAAGGGGGGACGGAGAAGGCUAUGUUGGCCGGGCGACGGUUGUCCCGGUUUAAGCGUGUAGGCUGGUUUUCCAGGCAAAUCCGGAAAAUCAAGGCUGAGGCGUGAUGACGAGGCACUACGGUGCUGAAGCAACAAAUGCCCUGCUUCCAGGAAAAGCCUCUAAGCAUCAGGUAACAUCAAAUCGUACCCCAAACCGACACAGGUGGUCAGGUAGAGAAUACCAAGGCGCUUGAGAGAACUCGGGUGAAGGAACUAGGCAAAAUGGUGCCGUAACUUCGGGAGAAGGCACGCUGAUAUGUAGGUGAAGUCCCUCGCGGAUGGAGCUGAAAUCAGUCGAAGAUACCAGCUGGCUGCAACUGUUUAUUAAAAACACAGCACUGUGCAAACACGAAAGUGGACGUAUACGGUGUGACGCCUGCCCGGUGC
RNAcentral lists this ribosomal RNA (1782 nucleotides) under Escherichia coli. RNAcentral's name for it is "partial 23S ribosomal RNA". It matches the Rfam family "Bacterial large subunit ribosomal RNA", at positions 62 to 1869 of the family's 2925-position model. The record is from RNAcentral. Lineage: Bacteria; Pseudomonadati; Pseudomonadota; Gammaproteobacteria; Enterobacterales; Enterobacteriaceae.